GAAGCGCUUAACAAACAUGAAUUCACCGCUCCUCCACCCGCUCCAGUCAAAGCACCUGAACCUGAAGUAGCUGUAAAAGAAGAGAAAAAGCCUGAAGAAGAUGAAAAGAAAACCGAAGAGGUGGUAGAAGAGAAGAAAGAUGAAGCAGUAGUUGAGGAGAAGAAGGUUGAUGAAGAAAAAGGUUCAACCUCUGAGGAACCUAAAGUUGAAACUGCUGAACCUGAAAAGGAGGAGAAGAAAGUGGAGGAAACGGUUGUAGAAGUUGUUGAGAAAAUAGCUGCAAGUAC
This 287-nucleotide long non-coding RNA is filed under the name Medicago truncatula (barrel medic). Its description in RNAcentral is "long non-coding RNA (MTRU_LNC001627)". Lineage: Eukaryota; Viridiplantae; Streptophyta; Magnoliopsida; Fabales; Fabaceae. The record is from RNAcentral.